GAACGCUAGCUACAGGCUUAACACAUGCAAGUCGAGGGGCAGCAUUUUAGUUUGCUUGCAAACUGAAGAUGGCGACCGGCGCACGGGUGAGUAACACGUAUCCAACCUACCGAUAACUCCGGAAUAGCCUUUCGAAAGAAAGAUUAAUACCGGAUAGCAUACGAAUAUCGCAUGAUAUUUUUAUUAAAGAAUUUCGGUUAUCGAUGGGGAUGCGUUCCAUUAGUUUGUUGGCGGGGUAACGGCCCGCCAAGACUACGAUGGAUAGGGGUUCUGAGAGGAAGGUCCCCCACAUUGGAACUGAGACACGGUCCAAACUCCUACGGGAGGCAGCAGUGAGGAAUAUUGGUCAAUGGGCGAGAGCCUGAACCAGCCAAGUAGCGUGAAGGAUGAAGGCUCUAUGGGUCGUAAACUUCUUUUAUAUGGGAAUAAAGUUUUCCACGUGUGGAAUUUUGUAUGUACCAUAUGAAUAAGGAUCGGCUAACUCCGUGCCAGCAGCCGCGGUAAUACGGAGGAUCCGAGCGUUAUCCGGAUUUAUUGGGUUUAAAGGGAGCGUAGGUGGAUUGUUAAGUCAGUUGUGAAAGUUUGCGGCUCAACCGUAAAAUUGCAGUUGAAACUGGCAGUCUUGAGUACAGUAGAGGUGGGCGGAAUUCGUGGUGUAGCGGUGAAAUGCUUAGAUAUCACGAAGAACUCCGAUUGCGAAGGCAGCUCACUAGACUGUCACUGACACUGAUGCUCGAAAGUGUGGGUAUCAAACAGGAUUAGAUACCCUGGUAGUCCACACAGUAAACGAUGAAUACUCGCUGUUUGCGAUAUACAGUAAGCGGCCAAGCGAAAGCAUUAAGUAUUCCACCUGGGGAGUACGCCGGCAACGGUGAAACUCAAAGGAAUUGACGGGGGCCCGCACAAGCGGAGGAACAUGUGGUUUAAUUCGAUGAUACGCGAGGAACCUUACCCGGGCUUAAAUUGCAACAGAAUAUAUUGGAAACAGUAUAGCCGUAAGGCUGUUGUGAAGGUGCUGCAUGGUUGUCGUCAGCUCGUGCCGUGAGGUGUCGGCUUAAGUGCCAUAACGAGCGCAACCCUUAUCUUUAGUUACUAACAGGUUAUGCUGAGGACUCUAGAGAGACUGCCGUCGUAAGAUGUGAGGAAGGUGGGGAUGACGUCAAAUCAGCACGGCCCUUACGUCCGGGGCUACACACGUGUUACAAUGGGGGGUACAGAAGGCGGCUACCUGGUGACAGGAUGCUAAUCCCAAAAACCUCUCUCAGUUCGGAUCGAAGUCUGCAACCCGACUUCGUGAAGCUGGAUUCGCUAGUAAUCGCGCAUCAGCCAUGGCGCGGUGAAUACGUUCCCGGGCCUUGUACACACCGCCCGUCAAGCCAUGAAAGCCGGGGGUACCUGAAGUACGUAACCGCAAGGAGCGUCCUAGGGUAAAACUGGUAAUUGGGGCUAA
This 1450-nucleotide ribosomal RNA is filed under the name uncultured organism. RNAcentral's name for it is "SSU rRNA". It matches the Rfam family "Bacterial small subunit ribosomal RNA". The record is from RNAcentral.